CAGCAGCCGCGGUAAUACAGAGGGUGAGAGCGUUAAUCGGAUUUACUGGGCGUAAAGCGUGCGUAGGCGGCUUCUUAAGUCGGAUGUGAAAUCCCUGAGCUUAACUUAGGAAUUGCAUUCGAUACUGGGAAGCUAGAGUAUGGGAGAGGAUGGUAGAAUUUCAGGUGUAGCGGUGAAAUGCGUAGAGAUCUGGAGGAAUACCGAUGGCGAAGGCAGCCAUCUGGCCUAAUACUGACGCUGAGGUACGAAAGCAUGGGGAGCAAACAGGAUUAGAUACCCCCGUAGUCCCUGUCUCUUAUAC
This 301-nucleotide ribosomal RNA is filed under the name uncultured bacterium. Its description in RNAcentral is "partial 16S ribosomal RNA". It matches the Rfam family "Bacterial small subunit ribosomal RNA", at positions 509 to 807 of the family's 1533-position model. The record is from RNAcentral.